AGAAUCAACGCUGGCGGCGUGCCUAACACAUGCAAGUCGAACGAGAAAGUGGAGCAAUCCAUGAGUAAAGUGGCGACCGGGUGAGUAACACGUGACUAACCUACCUUCGAGUGGGGAUAACCCCGGGAAACCGGGCUAAUACCGCAUAACAUCGCAAGAUCAAAGCAGCAAUGCGCUGGAAGAGGGGUCGCGGCUGAUUAGCUAGUUGGCGGGUAACGGCCCACCAAGGCGAAGAUCGGUA
Molecule: ribosomal RNA, 241 nt
Filed under: uncultured bacterium
Lineage: Bacteria
Description: partial small subunit ribosomal RNA
Rfam family: Bacterial small subunit ribosomal RNA
Source: RNAcentral